RNAcentral lists this long non-coding RNA (997 nucleotides) under Homo sapiens (human). RNAcentral describes it as "long non-coding RNA NONHSAT018197.2". The record is from RNAcentral. Lineage: Eukaryota; Metazoa; Chordata; Mammalia; Primates; Hominidae.
UAGCUGGCGCCCUCCUCCGUGAAGCCCUCCUCCCAGCCGCGGGGCAGGUCUGCGGAAACGCCAGAAAAGUCGGGUCAAACUUGGGCCGCCGCUGCGCGCGCCCCCCACCCGCCGGCCCGGCGCCCACCUGAGCGGAUCAUGUGGCCCGAGUUGACGGGCUCCCCGGUGCGCGGAUGCAGCCAGGUCGUGCAGCGGAGCUGGUCACUGCGGGCAGAGAGGUGCACCUGUUAGCGCCGCCACAGCCCGCCGGGUGCCCGCCCGGCCCCCGCCCCCGCGCCCCCACCCGCGUCCCCGCGUCCCCGGGUCCUCGCGCCGCACUUGAUGAAGAAGACGCGGCCAUCCCGGCACACCCCGUAGGACCAAUGCUCAGGCCAAAGGUGUCCAAACUAUACAGACCCACAGAAUCUAACAACAGAUGUCUCAAUAUUCCUCGUCCUAGAACUCUCAGAGGAUCCAGAACUACAGCCGGUCCUCGCUGGGCUGUUCCUGUCCAUGUGCCUGGUCAUGGUGCUGGGGAACCUGCUCAUCAUCCUGGCCGUCAGCCCUGACUCCCACCUCCACACCCCCAUGUACUUCUUCCUCUCCAACCUGUCCUUGCCUGACAUCGGUUUCACCUCCACCAUGGUCCCCAAGAUGAUUGUGGACAUCCAAUCUCACAGCAGUCAUCUCCUAUGCGGGCUGCCUGACUCAGAUGUCUCUUUUUGCCAUUUUUGGAGGCAUGGAAGAAAGACAUGCUCCUGAGUGUGAUGGCCCUAUGACCGGUUUGUAGCCAUCUGUCACCCUCUAUAUUAUUCAGCCAUCAUGAACCCAUGUUUCUGUGGCUUUCUAGUUCUGUUGUCUUGUUGUCUCAGUCUUUUAGACUCCCAGCUGCACAAUUUGAUUGCCUUGCAAAUUACCUGCUUCAAGGAUGUGGAAAUUCCUAAUUUCUUCUGUGACCCUUCUCAACUCCCCCACCAUGCGUGUUGUGACACCUUCACCAAUAACAUAGUCAUGUAUU